RNAcentral lists this ribosomal RNA (456 nucleotides) under uncultured bacterium. RNAcentral's name for it is "bacterial SSU rRNA". It matches the Rfam family "Bacterial small subunit ribosomal RNA", at positions 40 to 505 of the family's 1533-position model. The record is from RNAcentral.
CGGUGCGCCUUAUGCAUGCAAGUUGAGCGAAGCUUUUUGGUAGUUUACUACUAGAAAUGACUGAGCGGCGAACGGGUGAGUAACGCGUGAGCAAUCUACCUUAGUUACUGGGAUAGCCCGAGGAAACUCGGAUUAAUACCGGAUAUUCUUAUUUUUUCACAUGAAGUUUUAAGGAAAGGUCAGCCGAACUAAGAUGAGCUCGCGUUCUAUCAGCUAGUUGGUGGGGUAAAAGCCUACCAAGGCUACGACGGAUAGCUGGUCUGAGAGGACGAUCAGCCACACUGGGACUGAGACACGGCCCAGACUCCUACGGGAGGCUGCAGCAGGGAAUAUUGUGCAAUGAGCGAAAGCUUGACACAGCGACACCGCGUGUGGGAUGACGGUUCUAGGAUUGUAAACCACUUUCAGGAGGGAAGAAAAUGACGGUACCUCCACAAGAAGACCCGGCCAACUAUG